Molecule: ribosomal RNA, 463 nt
Filed under: uncultured bacterium
Lineage: Bacteria
Description: bacterial SSU rRNA
Rfam family: Bacterial small subunit ribosomal RNA
Source: RNAcentral
AAUCAACGCUGGCGGCGCGCUUAACACAUGCAAGUCGAACGAGAAAGAGGAGCGAUCCUUGAGUAAAGUGGCGUACUGGUGAGUAACACGUGGAUAUCUACCUCCUGGUGGGGAAUAACCUGGGGAAACCUGGGCUAAUACCGCAUAAGUUCGCGAGAAGAAAGGCGUAAGUCGCCGGGAGAGGAGUCCGCGGUCGAUUAGGUAGUUGGCGGGGUAAGAGCCCACCAAGCCAAAGAUCGAUAGCCGGCCUGAGAGGGCACACGGCCACACUGGCACUGAAACACGGGCCAGACUCCUACGGGAGGCAGCAGUGGGGAAUCUUGCACAAUGGGGGAAACCCUGAUGCAGCGACGCCGCGUGAGCGAUGAAGCCCUUCGGGUGUAAGCUCUUUCGGCAGGAACGAUAAUAGACGGUACCUGCAGAAGAAGCUGCGGCUAACUACGUGCCACGCCGCCGCCGUAAC